RNAcentral lists this transfer RNA (85 nucleotides) under Phaeocystis globosa. Its description in RNAcentral is "tRNA-Ser". It matches the Rfam family "tRNA". From Rfam's summary of the family: Transfer RNA (tRNA) molecules are approximately 80 nucleotides in length. Their secondary structure includes four short double-helical elements and three loops (D, anti-codon, and T loops). Further hydrogen bonds mediate the characteristic L-shaped molecular structure. tRNAs have two regions of fundamental functional importance: the anti-codon, which is responsible for specific mRNA codon recognition, and the 3' end, to which the tRNAs corresponding amino acid is attached (by aminoacyl-tRNA synthetases). tRNAs cope with the degeneracy of the genetic code in two manners: having more than one tRNA (with a specific anti-codon) for a particular amino acid; and 'wobble' base-pairing, i.e. permitting non-standard base-pairing at the 3rd anti-codon position. The record is from RNAcentral. Lineage: Eukaryota; Haptophyta; Phaeocystales; Phaeocystaceae.
UUUUGUGUGGCUGAGCGGUUUAUGGCGUUAGAUUGCUAAUCUUUUAAAUCAAGCGAUUUCGUAGGUUCGAAUCCUAUCACUUAAA